RNAcentral lists this ribosomal RNA (253 nucleotides) under uncultured bacterium. Its description in RNAcentral is "partial 16S ribosomal RNA". It matches the Rfam family "Bacterial small subunit ribosomal RNA", at positions 524 to 776 of the family's 1533-position model. The record is from RNAcentral.
UACAGAGGAGCCAAGCGUUGUCCGGAUUGACUGGGCGUAAAGCGCACGCAGGCGGUGGUGCGCGUGGGGUGUGAAAUCUGGCCGCUUAACGGCCAGGCGCCAUCCCAUACAGCACGACUGGAGGGCUGCAGAGGUCGAUGGAAUUGCCGGUGUAGUGGUGAAAUGCGUAGAGAUCGGCAGGAACACCCAGGGGGAAACCAGUCGACUGGGCAGCACCUGACGCUGAGGUGCGAGAGCGUGGGGAGCGAACCGG